RNAcentral lists this ribosomal RNA (504 nucleotides) under uncultured bacterium. Its description in RNAcentral is "partial 16S ribosomal RNA". It matches the Rfam family "Bacterial small subunit ribosomal RNA", at positions 30 to 523 of the family's 1533-position model. The record is from RNAcentral.
AUUGAACGCUGGCGGCAUGCCUUACACAUGCAAGUCGAACGGCAGCAUGGAGAGCUUGCUCUCUGAUGGCGAGUGGCGAACGGGUGAGUAAUGCAUCGGAACGUACCGUGUAAUGGGGGAUAACGUAGCGAAAGUUACGCUAAUACCGCAUACGACCUGAGGGUGAAAGCAGGGGAUCGCAAGACCUUGCGUUAUACGAGCGGCCGAUGUAAGAUUAGCUAGUUGGUGAGGUAAAGGCUCACCAAGGCGACGAUCUGUGGCGGGUCUGAGAGGAUGAGCCUCCGCACGGGGACAGAGACACGGCCCAGACUCCUACGGGAGACAGCAGUGGGGAAUUGUGGACAAUGGGGGCAACCCUGAUCCAGCCAUGCCGAGUGAGUGAAGAAGGCCUUCGGAUUGUAAAGCUCUUUCGGCCGGGAAGAAAUCGCACAGGCUAAUACUCUGUGUGGAUGACGGUACCGGCAUAAGAAGCACCGGCUAACUACGUGCCAGCCGCCGCCGUAA